GUGUCAGCAGCCGCGGUAAGACGAACCGAGCGAACGUUGUUCGGAAUCACUGGGCUUAAAGGGCGCGUAGGCGGGCCAUCAAGUCAGGGGUGAAAUCCUCCAGCUCAACUGGAGAACAGCUUUUGAUACUGGUGGUCUCGAGUGGGGUAGGGGCAUGUGGAACUUCCGGUGGAGCGGUGAAAUGCGUAGAUAUCGGAAGGAACGCCGGUGGCGAAAGCGACGUGCUGGACCCUUUCUGACGCUGAGGCGCGAAAGCCAGGGGAGCAAACGGGAUUAGAAACCCCGGUAGUCC
RNAcentral lists this ribosomal RNA (292 nucleotides) under uncultured bacterium. Its description in RNAcentral is "partial 16S ribosomal RNA". It matches the Rfam family "Bacterial small subunit ribosomal RNA", at positions 505 to 796 of the family's 1533-position model. The record is from RNAcentral.